UGCUUAUUUUGCGAUGGCGGAGCUCGACCGCCCACUGAAGCGAUGAUUUCCUUUAUCGACGAACACCGUGUGGCGUUCGGGGUCGAGCCGAUCUGCAGAUUGUUGCCGAUUGCCCCG
Molecule: non-coding RNA, 117 nt
Organism: Hoeflea sp. BRH_c9
Lineage: Bacteria; Pseudomonadati; Pseudomonadota; Alphaproteobacteria; Hyphomicrobiales; Rhizobiaceae
Source: Rfam